AUGGCGGCAACGACGGCGCAGCAGAAGACGGCGACGGUGGAGCAGGAGGAGGGGGAGCACGGUCCCUUCACCAUUGAGCAGCUCCAGGCAUCUGGAAUAGCUACAUUAGAUGUGAAAAAGCUCAAAGAUGUCGGUCUUUACAUAGUAGAAUAUGUGGCUUACACUCCAAGGAGAGAUCUUUUGCAAAUCAAAGGAAUCGCAUCCAAGCUUGUUCCGCUGGGAUUUACAAGUGCGAGCCAACUACAUGCACAGAGGCUAGAGAUCAUUCAAGUUACAACUGGAUCAAGGGAGCUUGAUAAGAUCUUGGAUGGUAAUUUGUGUCACACUCUGUGUGUUACAUGUCAGCUUCUAUUGGACCAAGGUGGUGGUGAACGAAAGGCUCUCUACAUUGACGCAGAGGGGACAUUCAGACCUCAGAGGCUCCUCCAGAUAGCAGACAGGUUUGGAUUGGACAGUGCUGAUGUAUUAGAGAAUAUGGCUUAUGCCAGAGCUUACAAUAUCGAUCAUCAAUCCAGGCUUCUGCUAGAGGUAGCUUCCAUGAUGAUAGAGACGAGGCAACUUGUGUGUGUGUCACUGAUUUCUUAUUCAUUGUUUUGCAUAUGGGCUUGUGGCUUGUCUAUAUGCAUCUAUACUCAAAUGUUACAUCAACCAAUAAAACAACCAGGGAUGUUUAUGUACAUGCUUUCCAGGAAUGCGAGUUAUCGUACAUUGACUGAUAGGUUUCAGCAUAGUCCGGAAACGGUGCAUAGACAUAUCAAUGGAUGCUUCAAGGCUUGA
RNAcentral lists this ribosomal RNA (777 nucleotides) under Triticum aestivum (bread wheat). RNAcentral's name for it is "partial small subunit ribosomal RNA". The record is from RNAcentral. Lineage: Eukaryota; Viridiplantae; Streptophyta; Magnoliopsida; Poales; Poaceae.